CGUUAAGUAAGCCAAGGAAAUUUUGUUUUCGGGAAAAAUGUGAAAAAUUUCGCUCUUUUACAAUCUUUAUAUUUGAAUGGUAAAAGAAAAAUAUGUCAUAAUAUUAAUUUUAAUUUCCGAAGUCCACUAGCAGAAGUGAGCGAGGGCUUUGAUAAGCUCACAAGAAUACCGAGAGAGUAAUUCGGGUCACGAUGAAGAGGGCUGAGGAGUAUGCACCGGCAACACAAUCGGGCGAAAGUGCAGAAUGCUGUAAGGGACUGACCAAGGCGUAUUUAAUUAGGUGACCGCAUCGGCGAAUUGCUACAACAAAGAAUCUUUUUUGGGAACUUGAUAUUUCAACAUUUCUAAACGAGGCGAAUUAAAUUCUAUUCGCCGUGACUUUUCAAAUUAUGGGCAAAUUUGCUUCGACCUAUCAGAGCAAGAAUUUUAUUUAUUUUUAAGUGUCAAGUAAGAAAAACCAAAUUUGAAAAUGUACAAAAUUCCCAUUAGCUUCACCAAUAAAACCACCAAGAUGGCAGGUUUAAAUUGUUUUCACUUGGUUAUUGUAGAGGUAGAUAGCUACCAAGUGAAGAUGAUGUUACAUGCUGCAGAAUAAUACGCGUACUACUAUCAAAAGGUUCAAAUAGGAAGAUUGUGCCUAGAGCUAAAUCACGUCAUUUGAAGAGGACAGUUAAAGUUUCUUGGCUACGAGGAUGACGUUGUGAUUGUGGCCAUGCGCCAAGAUUGGCCAAUGGGCUUGAUGUAUUCCCCAAAAGAUAAUGUUUGUGCUAUUCACCAAUAUGAAGUAACUUAGUAUAUUCACUUAGUAUGACGUCGCGCUGGAAAAAUGACGGACUUACGUUUGAUUUGUUGGGAUGAGGACGAGUCAUAGACGGUUUAGCACCUAUUGUAGUACUGCCCCGAUAUUGCGGGGCUAUUUGCAGGAUUAUGGCUAUACGAACAAGUUGUUCUAUGUUUAAACUAUCAUCAUGUACAUAGUCCUUGCGCCAUUCUUGACUACUACAGCUUAAAAUGGCAGAUUGAAAGAAAUUCUCCCGCCUGGCCGCCGUUUUAUCAUGCAUGUCGGCUCCUUCUUCAUUCUAAUGAUUAUAUUUUUGUAAGGCGGAUUAAAAAAUUAAUUGGCAUAUCAAGUUCUAUCAGCUAUACGCAUUGGGACUGACAUUCAAAACACUUCUACUGAAUUUGGAAAGAGAAUCGGAUCUCCCGAAGAGCAUAAAAUUUCUAAAAUUCUGAAAAAGAAAAACAGCUCCCCGCUUUUAAGUACUCGGGAAGGACCAAGCCAGCUCACCCGCAAUAGACUCCAGACAGUGUCCUACGUAGGAGACAAAAUCGGAAAAGGAACGAAGGGAGCGCAGAUGGCCCCUGAUUCUUCAUGGAACUGUGACUUACAAAAUAACGCCACAGCCAUUACGAAAGGGGAAGAUGGUCACUGGAAAAGGUAAGGAGCUGCCUUCUUACGCCAGAGUGACAAGAAAGCACAACAGAGAUGAGCUUACUUAUGCAGUCAUCGAUAUUGGCAGUGCAUCCGGUAGGAUUCCAUCAGAUCAUCGGUACAAAGUCGAGGAUCAAAUUAACGUGCGGAUUUGCGAACAUGUGGGGAACUCUAAAGAGGGUCCACCCAUACAAAUGAUGAGCUUCGAGUAUAGAAGAGACAUCUUUACGCUACGCUUUACAUCAGCAGAAUGUAUUGAUAUUGUCAAAAAGCUCGUCAGAAAUAUCCACACUCCCUGGUAGGCAAAGCUGCCAGACGAUUUUACGUCAUUUUUUUACGAUUUUUGUCCAAAAUUUAACUCUGAUGCCUGACGAUUUUCGAUUUGAGUCCCUUGAUAAUAUGUCAAUUUUUUGGGAUCUAUUUGUAUUGAAAUUGAACUCAAAUUAGAGAAAAAAAAUUCAGAAAUUCGCUAUGGCUGACAUUAUGCGACAAAUUUAAUUUUAAAUUUUAAGGCCCGAUAUUGAUUUCGAAUAACUUUACAGUUGCUCAUUUGUGUAUCUUUCCAUCAUUAAAAUUGAGCAAGUCGGAAAUUGGAAAUGUUCAAAUGAAAUGCAUAAAAAACUCGGAAUUUAAAAUUGUAGCAACCGUUUAAAUUUUAUUAGCCCUUCAAUCAUAUUAAAGUCUAAAUUCCAUA
Long non-coding RNA from Stomoxys calcitrans (stable fly), 2126 nucleotides. RefSeq lists it as uncharacterized. Lineage: Eukaryota; Metazoa; Arthropoda; Insecta; Diptera; Muscidae. The record is from RefSeq and is a predicted model, not a curated record. The transcript is spliced from 2 exons.